GAACUGUGGCUCAGUGGAAGAGCCUCUGCUUUUCAUGCAGAAGGUCCCAGUUUCAGUCUCCAGGAUCUCCU
RNAcentral lists this transfer RNA (71 nucleotides) under Sphaerodactylus townsendi. RNAcentral describes it as "tRNA-Glu". The stretch from base 1 to 55 matches the Rfam family "tRNA". Rfam says of the family: Transfer RNA (tRNA) molecules are approximately 80 nucleotides in length. Their secondary structure includes four short double-helical elements and three loops (D, anti-codon, and T loops). Further hydrogen bonds mediate the characteristic L-shaped molecular structure. tRNAs have two regions of fundamental functional importance: the anti-codon, which is responsible for specific mRNA codon recognition, and the 3' end, to which the tRNAs corresponding amino acid is attached (by aminoacyl-tRNA synthetases). tRNAs cope with the degeneracy of the genetic code in two manners: having more than one tRNA (with a specific anti-codon) for a particular amino acid; and 'wobble' base-pairing, i.e. permitting non-standard base-pairing at the 3rd anti-codon position. Lineage: Eukaryota; Metazoa; Chordata; Lepidosauria; Squamata; Sphaerodactylidae. The record is from RNAcentral.